AGUGAACGCUGGCGGUAGGCCUAACACAUGCCAGUCGAACGGCAGCACAGUAAGAGCUUGCUCUUACGGGUGGCGAGUGGCGGACGGGUGAGGAAUACAUCGGAAUCUACUUUUUCGUGGGGGAUAACGUAGGGAAACUUACGCUAAUACCGCAUACGACCUACGGGUGAAAGCAGGGGAUCUUCGGACCUUGCGCGAUUGAAUGAGCCGAUGUCGGAUUAGCUAGUUGGCGGGGUAAAGGCCCACCAAGGCGACGAUCCGUAGCUGGUCUGAGAGGAUGAUCAGUCACACUGGAACUGAGACACGGUCCAGACUCCUACGGGAGGCAGCAGUGGGGAAUAUUGGACAAUGGGCGCAAGCCUGAUCCAGCCAUACCGCGUGGGUGAAGAGGGCCUUCGGGUUGUAAAGCCCUUUUGUUGGGAAAGAAAAGCAGCAGGUUAAUACCCCGCUGUUCUGACGGUACCCAAAGAAUAAGCACCGGCUAACUUCGUG
RNAcentral lists this ribosomal RNA (492 nucleotides) under uncultured bacterium. RNAcentral's name for it is "partial 16S ribosomal RNA". It matches the Rfam family "Bacterial small subunit ribosomal RNA", at positions 29 to 507 of the family's 1533-position model. The record is from RNAcentral.